RNAcentral lists this long non-coding RNA (495 nucleotides) under Homo sapiens (human). RNAcentral's name for it is "HSALNT0266217". Lineage: Eukaryota; Metazoa; Chordata; Mammalia; Primates; Hominidae. The record is from RNAcentral.
AGCGGCGGAUCUGGGAGCCUGCGGAUCCCAGAUUCCGAACUGGAGCGUCAGGGAUCUCGCGGGCCGGGCCAGGCCAGGCGGAGGCGGAGGGUGGUGGUCUCCGAGCCCGUGGAGAUGGGCAAGGCUGAGGGGUGGGGGACAGGUUGGAAGGUCUCUGAGCAUCUGACCGCGAAACAAAACUCUGCAACUGAAGGCAGGAAGCUUUGUUCUUAAAGGCGUGCUUCUGUGACCCCGCGGCUCCUGUUCUGGGACAUCUGCUUUCUCCAUCACUCCCUGGCUUCCCGGGCGGGCCCCAUCCUCCGGAGCGGAUCGGAGCAGUGCGCACAGAAGCGCCACUGUUCUGCCUUGGCAGGGCCUGGCCCGACAGCUUGUGCCUGCGCAGCAGACCCAUCCAUCUGGCGGGAAGGAUGGAGCGACGUCCGGCUGCCCGCUCUGAGGACUCCCUAGGGAGACACCUCUGCCUUGGCCCAGACUCCUCUCUUCCUUUCUCCCCAC